AUCCGGCCGACGAGUCCCAAAUAGGACAAAACACACGUCGUGGAU
Non-coding RNA from Schistosoma mattheei, 45 nucleotides. Lineage: Eukaryota; Metazoa; Platyhelminthes; Trematoda; Strigeidida; Schistosomatidae. The record is from Rfam.